GAUGAACGCUGGCGGCGUGCCUAAUACAUGCAAGUCGAGCGAACGGACGAGAAGCUUGCUUCUCUGAUGUUAGCGGCGGACGGGUGAGUAACACGUGGAUAACCUACCUAUAAGACUGGGAUAACUUCGGGAAACCGGAGCUAAUACCGGAUAAUAUUUUGAACCGCAUGGUUCAAAAGUGAAAGACGGUCUUGCUGUCACUUAUAGAUGGAUCCGCGCUGCAUUAGCUAGUUGGUAAGGUAACGGCUUACCAAGGCAGCGAUGCAUAGCCGACCUGAGAGGGUGAUCGGCCACACUGGAACUGAGACACGGUCCAGACUCCUACGGGAGGCAGCAGUAGGGAAUCUUCCGCAAUGGGCGAAAGCCUGACGGAGCAACGCCGCGUGAGUGAUGAAGGUCUUCGGACCGUAAAACUCUGUUAUUAGGGAAGAACAUAUGUGUAAGUAACUGUGCACAUCUUGACGGUACCUAAUCAGAAAGCCACGGCUAACUACGUG
Molecule: ribosomal RNA, 497 nt
Filed under: uncultured bacterium
Lineage: Bacteria
Description: partial 16S ribosomal RNA
Rfam family: Bacterial small subunit ribosomal RNA
Source: RNAcentral